Molecule: ribosomal RNA, 480 nt
Filed under: uncultured soil bacterium
Lineage: Bacteria
Description: bacterial SSU rRNA
Rfam family: Bacterial small subunit ribosomal RNA
Source: RNAcentral
AGAUUGAACGCUGGCGGCAGGCCUAACACAUGCAAGUCGAGCGGCAGCACGGGUACUUGUACCUGGUGGCGAGCGGCGGACGGGUGAGUAAUGCCUAGGAAUCUGCCUGAUAGUGGGGGAUAACGUUCGGAAACGGACGCUAAUACCGCAUACGUCCUACGGGAGAAAGUGGGGGAUCUUCGGACCUCACGCUAUCAGAUGAGCCUAGGUCGGAUUAGCUAGUUGGUAGGGUAAAGGCCUACCAAGGCUACGAUCCGUAACUGGUCUGAGAGGAUGAUCAGUCACACUGGAACUGAGACACGGUCCAGACUCCUACGGGAGGCAGCAGUGGGGAAUAUUGGACAAUGGGCGAAAGCCUGAUCCAGCCAUCGCCGCGUGUGUGAAGAAGGUCUUCGGAUUGUAAAGCAACGUUUUUAAGUGGGAGGAAGGCUAUUAACCUAAUACGUUAGUGUUUUGACGUUACGACAGAAUAAGCACCGG